CUUAAAGAUUUCGAGUGUCUUCGCUAUGAAAAUGGCUCGAUGUAACUUACUUUGCUUACUGUAAAUCCUGUAAAACGGCGUUGGUGGCGGAAUCAAAACAUUUUAAGCGCCAGACCUUGCUUAAACAUGGCGAAAGUGCCAAAAACACUAGUAGUGUCAUGACAAAUGUGUUCAUUAUUGAUGGAGACACCGACCUGUCUGUCAAAGAGUGUUUGAUAGUGUAUGUGCGCAUGCGCUGGUGAAUGGACAUCCGACAAACAUCCUUGUGGUCCAUGUUGAUGUGGAACACGACAAUGUUGAUGAGUGCCAUGUAGCGACGGAUCAAACGGACACUCAUGUCAAGCUUGAUGAGGACACAGUCAAAGCUUUAAAAGACCUUGUGAUUAAGUCUUCAGUGUCUGAAUGGCAAGAAGAAGUGACCCUCCACUUAAACGUGACAUUUAAACUGCUCUGUGUUUUGGUUCAGCCAUUUGUAGGUUUAUCUCGAGUAAGUUCAAAUGCACUUCUGCAUUUGUCCAGUAACUUUUUGUUUAGAGAAUUACAUCAUUAUGAUUAUAUAAUUAUUCAAUGGUUGCAUAUUCAUAGUGUACUUUUCAUAUUGAUGUAUUAAUGUUCCACAAUUUGAUAAAAGUAGCUCAUUGCAUUUCACUGAUCUUUGUUUUAUAUUGUAAAAUCAUUUCAAUAGCAGUAAAUACAUACUUAGUUGUUUCUUUAACAUUUAAUUAGUUGUUAAUGAUGGAAGAAACCGGUUCGUAUGUAUGAAUACAGAAUAGGUAUCAUUUUAGAAUGAGUUAAAACAUGUUUUGGUGGCAAACAUGCAGGUAAAAUAGUACAUCUAUAACAUUCUAAUAGUAAACUUGACUGUAAUUCAAAUAUCACAUACAGUACAUUAGAAAUGAUUUAUUUUAUGUAUACAAAUUUGUGGGCAAUAUAUUAUUAUUUCAUUUUGUAUGCUAUAUUAUUUAUGUAAUAUUAUUAUAUCUGAAAUUAUUAAAUUACAUUAUUUAUAAAUGUUUAAAAGGUGGGUUCAAAUGUGCUUCAAGUUGUAACUGAAUACAAUUUUAGAAAAUAGCACAGUUGAGUACACUUAGAUUGUCUUAAGUUUGUCUUAACAAGUACUAAAUACUACUUUUUAGUAUAUUAAGCACAAUUUACUGCACGAAA
Paramisgurnus dabryanus is the source of this 1164-nucleotide non-coding RNA. The record is from RefSeq and is a predicted model, not a curated record. NCBI's taxonomy places the organism in Eukaryota, Metazoa, Chordata, Actinopteri, Cypriniformes, Cobitidae.